CUUGAAGAGGGACAAAUGUGAACUGAUACAACUCAGAAGAGACUUCUCAAAAUUAGCAGUGUCAUAUGGUGCCAUAUUUGGAAGUCAUUAGGAAAGACUGUUGUCACUGAGAGGGAACUCUUCUAGCUGUGCAACUCUGUCAGCCAGAAGCAUAUUGAGGCCAAGCCUGGCAGUUCCAGCUACGCUUCUGGUGAAAGGCUUAGUCAAGUCAUUGUCUCCCUAUGGCUAUAUCAUAAUAGUGGGCUGAAGACCUGAAUCUGUCCAUUUCUUAAAAGGAAGGCAAGCCGACUCCAAACCUCCACCAAUGCCCAACAACUCUCUGAAGACACUCAAUACACCCUGUGCUCUUAAGUACAUCUCCUUUCA
Molecule: long non-coding RNA, 366 nt
Organism: Phyllostomus discolor (pale spear-nosed bat)
Lineage: Eukaryota; Metazoa; Chordata; Mammalia; Chiroptera; Phyllostomidae
Exons: 3
Source: RefSeq, a predicted model, not a curated record